RNAcentral lists this ribosomal RNA (253 nucleotides) under uncultured bacterium. Its description in RNAcentral is "partial 16S ribosomal RNA". It matches the Rfam family "Bacterial small subunit ribosomal RNA", at positions 524 to 776 of the family's 1533-position model. The record is from RNAcentral.
UACGUAGGGGGCAAGCGUUGUCCGGAUUUAUUGGGCGUAAAGAGCGUGUAGGCGGCCAAGUAAGUCUGCUGUGAAAACUCGAGGCUUAACCUCGAGCUGUCGGCGGAAACUAUUUGGCUAGAGUCCGGAAGAGGAGAAUGGAAUUCCCGGUGUAGCGGUGAAAUGCGCAGAUAUCGGGAAGAACACCCGUGGCGAAGGCGGUUCUCUGGGACGGUACUGACGCUGAGGCGCGAAAGCGUGGGGAGCGAACAGG